GCGGGUAUGGUGGAAUUGGCAGACACGCAAGAUUUAGGAUCUUGUGCCCUCGGCGUGCAGGUUCGACCCCUGUUACCCGCACCA
RNAcentral lists this transfer RNA (84 nucleotides) under Clostridiaceae bacterium. RNAcentral's name for it is "tRNA-Leu". It matches the Rfam family "tRNA". From Rfam's summary of the family: Transfer RNA (tRNA) molecules are approximately 80 nucleotides in length. Their secondary structure includes four short double-helical elements and three loops (D, anti-codon, and T loops). The record is from RNAcentral. RNAcentral also lists the same sequence under 2 other names. Lineage: Bacteria; Bacillati; Bacillota; Clostridia; Eubacteriales; Clostridiaceae.